Molecule: small nuclear RNA, 103 nt
Organism: Nomascus leucogenys (northern white-cheeked gibbon)
Lineage: Eukaryota; Metazoa; Chordata; Mammalia; Primates; Hylobatidae
Source: Ensembl
GUGCUUCAGCAGCAUAUAUACUAAAAUUGGAAUGACACAGAGAAGAUUAGCAUGGCACCUGCGCAAGGAUGACAUAUACAUUUGGGAAGCAUUCUGUAUUUUU